UCAGACGAUGCGUCAUGCAUAUCAAUAAGCGGAGGAAAAGAAACUAACAAGGAUUCCCCUAGUAACGGCGAGUGAAGCGGGAAGAGCUCAAAUUUGAAAUCUUAAAGGGUUUCCCUUUACGAAUUGUAGUUUAAAGAAGUGUUUUCUGUUGAGGUUUUGGUAAAAGUUCUUUGGAAUAGGACAUCAUAGAGGGUGAGAAUCCCGUAUUUGACCUUUACUUUCAACUUUGUGAUACACUUUCAAAGAGUCGGAUUGUUUGGGAAUGCAGUCCAAAAUGGGUGGUAAAUUUCAUCUAAAGCUAAAUAUUGGCGAGAGACCGAUAGCGAACAAGUACCGUGAGGGAAAGAUGAAAAGAACUUUGAAAAGAGAGUUAAACAGUACGUGAAAUUGUCAAAAGGGAAGCGUUUGACACCAGUGUUGUUUUUCUGAAAAUCAAUUAAAGAACUGUUUAUGCUAAGCUGUUUAGACUUUAUCAGCUAUCUGUUUAGUUUUGAGCUUUUCUUUAAUGCACUUUUCAGUUAACAAGUCAACAUCAAUUUCUUUUGCUGUAAGAAAGCUUGAGGAAGGUGGCUUGAGAUUCGUCUUAAGUGUUUAUAGCCUCUUGCCUAUGCAGUCGGAGAGAUUGAGGUCUGCAGCGUAGAUCCUUCGGGGCUAAAUGCAUUUGUGCUAAGUUAUAGCAUUUUAUAGACAACUUGUUGACUAUGAUUUGUCUUGUAGCUUACUCGCUUAUGUUAUUUUACCUACGCUUAGGAUGUUGACACACGCGCGUGCUCG
Molecule: ribosomal RNA, 774 nt
Filed under: uncultured Neocallimastigales
Lineage: Eukaryota; Fungi; Neocallimastigomycota; Neocallimastigomycetes; Neocallimastigales
Description: partial large subunit ribosomal RNA
Rfam family: Eukaryotic large subunit ribosomal RNA
Source: RNAcentral